CCCAAGUUCUCCAUCCGAUUCUCAGCCAUGAACAACCACAAAAACCAUCCUUACUAUCCCACCGUCCAUCAACGUUAAACCCCUGCAAUCCUCAUCAUAGCAUAGAAAUUGCCUUGUGAUUUCUAUACUGGGUUUGUGAUUUCUCUAUGAGACGAUCACAAAUUGGGUCGAAAUCGAUUAUUGAUGAUGAAGGAGAGGCAAGAAAGAGUGCGCAUUUGUGCUCUUUCACGGAGAGAAAUUAGAUGGUAAUACAGGGAUUGUGCAACGAUGAUGAGAAAGAGAGUGAGAGCUGCAAUGAGAGAG
Molecule: long non-coding RNA, 303 nt
Filed under: Populus tremula
Lineage: Eukaryota; Viridiplantae; Streptophyta; Magnoliopsida; Malpighiales; Salicaceae
Description: long non-coding RNA (PTRE_LNC002780)
Source: RNAcentral